Molecule: ribosomal RNA, 253 nt
Filed under: uncultured bacterium
Lineage: Bacteria
Description: partial 16S ribosomal RNA
Rfam family: Bacterial small subunit ribosomal RNA
Source: RNAcentral
UACGGGGGGGGUAAGCGUUGUUCGGAAUUACUGGGCGUAAAGGGCUCGUAGGCGGCCUACUAAGUCAUACGUGAAAUCCCUCAGCUUAACUGGGGAACUGCGUGUGAUACUGGAUGGCUUGGAUUUGGGAGAGGGAUGCGGAAUUCCAGGUGUAGCGGUGAAAUGCGUAGAUAUCUGGAGGAACACCGGUGGCGAAGGCGGCAUCCUGGACCAAUAUUGACGCUGAGGAGCGAAAGCGUGGGGAGCAAACAGG